UUAUGUACCCGGCAGGGGAGCUACCAUGAUCACAAAGCUCUUUUCCCAGGACCAGGCUUAUCCAUCGCAAUGCGGAUAUGCUCACCCUGCGGUUUCCCCAAAUGUGGGAAACCUGGCAGCAUAAUUUGUGGUAGUGGGCGACUAUGCUCAAGCCCUCCCC
Molecule: small nuclear RNA, 160 nt
Filed under: Dasypus novemcinctus (nine-banded armadillo)
Lineage: Eukaryota; Metazoa; Chordata; Mammalia; Cingulata; Dasypodidae
Description: U1 spliceosomal RNA (ENSDNOG00000028212.1)
Rfam family: U1 spliceosomal RNA
About the family: U1 is a small nuclear RNA (snRNA) component of the spliceosome (involved in pre-mRNA splicing). Its 5' end forms complementary base pairs with the 5' splice junction, thus defining the 5' donor site of an intron.
Source: RNAcentral